UAGAAUAAUUUGUUCUCAGGAAAUGGAGAAAGGUAAUACUUGCUUCAUGAAUGAAAAACUUGAGUUUCCUAUAAAGAAACUUGAGUAUUAUUCUUACGUGGUGUCACAGAAUCGGAGGCCCCGACUGUUUACUAUAAACACAGACACCUGCAACGAUGUAUUUCUGUGUAUAGGUGUUGAAUUUUGCCCAAUGCCAUUAAUAUAAAGAAGGCCGAGUCACUUUGCCGACUGAAGUUCUGGUCAAUGGCGGUCUUAACUAUAAGGAUCCUAAGGUAGCGAAAUUUAUUGGCCGUUAAAUGCGGUCCUGCAUGAAUAAAGUAACGAUGGUCUCACUGUCUCUACAAGUAUCUCAGUGAAAUUGAAUUAGCCGUGCAGAUGCGGUCUGCCUCCAGUGUAC
Molecule: ribosomal RNA, 397 nt
Filed under: Botryohypochnus isabellinus
Lineage: Eukaryota; Fungi; Basidiomycota; Agaricomycetes; Cantharellales; Botryobasidiaceae
Description: LSU rRNA
Rfam family: Bacterial large subunit ribosomal RNA
Source: RNAcentral